UAGGGAAUCUUCGGCAAUGGACGGAAGUCUGACCGAGCAACGCCGCGUGAGUGAAGAAGGUUUUCGGAUCGUAAAACUCUGUUGCCAGGGAAGAAUGGUUGGGAGAGUAACUGCUCUUGACAUGACGGUACCUGAGAAGAAAGCCCCGGCUAACUACGUGCCAGCAGCCGCGGUAAUACGUAGGGGGCAAGCGUUGUCCGGAAUUAUUGGGCGUAAAGCGCGCGCAGGCGGUGAUUUAAGUCUGGUGUAUAACCCAAGGGCUCAACUCUUGGUGGCAUUGGAAACUGGAUGACUGGAGUGUAGGAGAGGAAAGUGGAAUUCCACGUGUAGCGGUGAAAUGCGUAGAGAUGUGGAGGAACACCAGUGGCGAAGGCGACUUUCUGGCCUAUAACUGACGCUGAGGCGCGAAAGCGUGGGGAGCAAACAGGAUUAGAUACCCGUGUAGUCC
Molecule: ribosomal RNA, 448 nt
Filed under: uncultured bacterium
Lineage: Bacteria
Description: bacterial SSU rRNA
Rfam family: Bacterial small subunit ribosomal RNA
Source: RNAcentral